Molecule: long non-coding RNA, 977 nt
Organism: Cottoperca gobio
Lineage: Eukaryota; Metazoa; Chordata; Actinopteri; Perciformes; Bovichtidae
Exons: 2
Source: RefSeq, a predicted model, not a curated record
UCUGGUGUUUUGGAGACUUUCUGGUGUUUUGGAGACUUUCUGGUGUUUUUGGAGAUUUUGGAGACUUUCUGGUGUUUUGGAGACUUUCUGGUGUUUGGAGACUCUGACGUGAAGUCGUAUCGUUCUGCAGUUACUGUCUCAACGAGCAGCGGGUGCUGCCGUGAACCCUCCGCCGUCCUGAAGCUCUCACAGGCGGUCAGUGUCACAGUAGCCUCGCGCAGCAGCUGCAGCCAGAGCAGAGAGGAGACCCGCACUCUCCGCGUCCAGACGGCAAAUGAAUCGCGCAUGCGCACAGCCGACGCUGAUAUGAAAAUAAAAUAUUUUCUUUGACACAAUGUGGCAAAACAAGGAGGACGAGAAGCUUCGAUGGCCUGGCAGGGACAAAUGACAUAACAACCAUUGACCGCUCUUUCUUCCUUUGUGUGCCAAAAUUACAAAUCCUGCCAGAGCUGUGUGUCACACACCAACACAGAAACGAAACCUACCAGACUCAUCAGAUGAUUUCUCAGAAACAGUACAGAGGGAUGUGCUGUUUGUGCCCAGUGGAGGAGCUCUAACACUGUUACUGAGUCCUGAAAAGGCAACUAUCAUUAAUGCCACUGGCCUACAUUCAUAGCUGCACUUUAAACCUGGCUUAGUUUGGUGAUCUACCUCAUAUAUGAGGAAUAGAAACAGAGACAUAAGAAAGUUGUUAAUCAAGUUGCAUUCUGGGUUCAAUGUGAGUCACUGCCUCUGCCUGUUCGACGAUGAUUUAAUUGUUUUAAUAUGUUAUCUGGAGACUUUCAUUCCUGUGUUUAUAAAACAAUUAAAAGCCCCAAAUUAAAACACAUGUCUUCUUAUAUUCUUGAUCUACUGUAAAAUAAUAAAGCAUGUGAGUAAAGUGUAAUGGAAAAAUGCUGCAUUGCUUAAAUUCCUUUACUGUUUUUGUAUUUCCCCUGUCCUCUUUUAACAUAUGGUACGGGCUGAGGGACCUUUUU